AUGUAAUUAUGUAACAGUCACGUGACCUGUUAUGGAACUUCCAAUGGCAACUAAAAGCACAUGCAGCUAGUGGAUUUCAUCGGAGUGUUUGAGGUUCCCGUCUUGAAUGUGACUGUCGGAACUACUGUCCGGGGGGGUGGUGCAUUUUUCUGAGUUUAAGCAGGAGUCGGGAGUCCCCAAAAGGGAACACAAGACACCUUGAUCCUGGCAUAUCUUGUGUGCCCUCUGUGGGCCUCAGUUUGUUUCACAGGAUUGAAAACCUGGGAAGUUAGAUGCUCAUCUCAUCUGAAGAAGUUGUUCUGCCUUUGUUAAGGUGGAGCGGGAAUAGUCAGCACUGGGACAUGAGAAUGGACAGUCGCCUGGACCCACCUAGGGAUUCACCAUUUGCUAAAUGUGUGAGCUGUGGGCUCGGCCCUGGGGGCACUUUAGGAACAUGACUAGUCUUCCCCUGCAGUGUGGAGGACACAUGUGCCACAGAGCCCAGCUUUGUGCUCGGUGCCAGAGAGGCUUCCGGAGGCAGGCAGGGCUGCGUGCAGCCUGGAAGGAUGAGCCAGGCCAGGCGGGAAACGGAAGUCCAGGUAGAAGGGAGGAGCCGAAUUGGGGUACACUCCAUAUGGGCUCAGGCAGGUCAGCCUGUGGAAUGAAUAGAGGCCAACAUGCAGGCCAGCCCGGAAUGCGGCAGGAGUGACAGUGGCUUUCCGUUUCUGGGAAUUCUGCCAGUACCUACAGUGGUGCCUUUUGACUUGGCUUACCUUUUUUCUCGACAUGCAGGCAGCGUCUAUCCCAGACUACCGGGGCCCUAAUGGAGUGUGGACACUGCUUCAGAAAGGGAGAAGCGUUAGGUAAGCGGGCCAGGCAUGGCCUCCCACAUAGGCUGGGCAGCGGCAGCACGGGCCUGAGCUCCAGCUCUCCUCACCUUGCCUUCCUUUCUGCCUGGCAGUGCUGCCGACCUGAGCGAGGCCGAGCCAACCCUCACCCACAUGAGCAUCACCCGUCUGCAUGAGCAGAAGCUGGUGCAGCAUGUGGUGUCUCAGAACUGUGACGGGCUCCACCUGAGGAGUGGGCUGCCGCGCACGGCCAUCUCCGAGCUCCACGGGAACAUGUACAUUGAAGUGAGCAGUCCUGCAGGGACCCAGGGUCUCCAUGGGCAGGCGGGUCCCACUCACUGUGCCCUCUUGCCUCUAGGUCUGUACCUCCUGCGUUCCCAACAGGGAGUACGUGCGGGUGUUCGAUGUGACGGAGCGCACUGCCCUCCACAGACACCAGACAGGCCGGACCUGCCACAAGUGUGGGACCCAGCUGCGGGACACCAUUGUGCACUUUGGGGAGAGGGGGACGUUGGGGCAGCCUUUGAACUGGGAAGCGGCGACCGAGGCUGCCAGCAGAGCAGACACCAUCCUGUGUCUAGGGUCCAGCCUGAAGGUUCUAAAGAAGUACCCACGCCUCUGGUGCAUGACCAAGCCCCCUAGCCGGCGGCCGAAGCUUUACAUCGUGAACCUGCAGUGGACCCCGAAGGAUGACUGGGCUGCCCUGAAGCUACAUGGGAAGUGUGAUGACGUCAUGCGGCUCCUCAUGGCCGAGCUGGGCUUGGAGAUCCCCGCCUAUAGCAGGUGAGUGAGCCGCUGCAGCAGCCUGCUUCCCCGCACCUCUGUGUGCUGGGCCUUGUCUGUCUUCUCUCGUGAGCUGAGUGUGGAGGAAGCUCUGAGGUGUUUGCAGUGGUGCCUGAGGCAUGACUGAAGCGUGGUGGUCUCCAGAGGGCCUGACCUCGGUGGUUGGCGGAGACCCUGCGUGUGCCACUCCUGCCCUGGCUGAUGUGGCACACACAAUCCCCGCGGGGAGAGGGAUUCUGCCCGCGUGCUCCUGCUCCAGGCCUCCCCGUGGAGCUCUCCGAGAUGCCUGGUGGGAAGCAUCUGGAGGGGACGAGCACUCGGCAGCUCUGGUCAGACAGAAUCUGUGUGCUUGGUUUUGGGAGUUGGCGUACUUUGGGAAAGCUUAAACAAACUGUGCCUUAAUACAGAAUUUGUGAUAAUUUAGACUUGGUGUAUGUAUUGAGUAAAAAGUUUACACUCUCUUUCUCUGUGAAUUUUCAGGGUCUUAUAGGGGAAAUCAAUAACUUCUUUUAAUCAAAGGGUUCAAGAAAUUAAGGAUCCCUUCACCUUCUGGGCCUGGCACUUCUUGUAUGUUAUGUGUGUGGUGUUCUGUGAUGUGGGCUAUCGUGUACUGUAUUUUUUUUUUACAUUAACUUAGCUCAUUUUCCUUAUCAGUGCGUAUCUGUAUCUUAAGUUAUGAUCUGUGGUUCUGCAUCUCCGUCAGACACAUGCUUUCUUCACGGGGUCGUCUGUAGGCCACGCCUCCCUAGUCAGCUGGGAAGGGGGAGAGGGUCUGGUCCACCUGCCCCAGCGGUACAAGUGGAAGGUGGGGCCCAGAGUUGCUAGUGACUCAUCCCUGGAGACGGAGGCAGCCCUGGGGCCACUGCUGCCCCACCCUGUGUGUGCACGCCGCUCAGUGGUGGACAAGGACACGGAGUUUUGAGGAGACCGAGCUAGUGUGGGUGCCGACCUUUGAGUCACCACCUAAGAGGUGACCUCUCCCACAUCCGUUCUGCAGCUUGGUAACAAUGAAGCUGCCGCCAACCAGAGCCCCGCCGCAGUUGACACGGGAGGGAAGGGGAUGGGAAGGCAGGGACCGCAGACAGCUUUCCCGAGCUGGGGCAGGUGUGACUGCGAGAGGCUCCCAGGCCCGCCUGAUGCCGCUUUCCCUUUUUGGCAGGUGGCAGGAUCCCAUUUUCUCACUGGCGACUCCCCUGCGUGCUGGUGAAGAAGGCAGCCACAGUCGGAAGUCGCUGUGCAGAAGCAGAGAGGAGGCCCCGCCUGGGGACCGGGGUGCACCGCUUAGCUCGGCCCCCAUCCUAGGGGGCUGGUUUGGCAGGGGCUGCACAAAACGCACAAAAAGGAAGAAAGUGACGUAAUCACGUGCUCGAUGAAGAACAGUUGGCACUUUGCAGAUGGCCAGUGUCACGGUGAAGGCUGGGUUGCCCCCACGGGUCUAGGGAGAACGAACUCUUUGGGGAUGACAUUUUCACCGUGACAUUUUUAGCCAUUUGUCCUUGAGGAAGCCCCUUGCACUGCUGCGGUUGUACCCUGAUACGGCCUGGCCAUCGAGGACACCUGCCCAUCCGGCCUCUGUGUCAAGAGGUGGCAGCCGCACCUUUCUGUGAGAACGGAACUCGGGUUAUUUCAGCCCCGGCCUGCAGAGUGGAAGCGCCCAGCGGCCUUUCCUCGCUCACCAGGCCAGUCUCAGGGCCUCACCGUAUUUCUACUACUACUUAAUGAAAAAGUGUGAACUUUAUAGAAUCCUCUCUGUACUGGAUGUGCGGCAGAGGGGUGGCUCCGAGCCUCGGCUCUAUGCAGACCUUUUUAUUUCUAUUAAACGUUUCUGCACUGGC
RNAcentral lists this long non-coding RNA (3445 nucleotides) under Homo sapiens (human). RNAcentral's name for it is "non-protein coding lnc-SIRT7-1:1". The record is from RNAcentral. Lineage: Eukaryota; Metazoa; Chordata; Mammalia; Primates; Hominidae.